This is a non-coding RNA of Camellia sinensis, 3718 nucleotides long. Lineage: Eukaryota; Viridiplantae; Streptophyta; Magnoliopsida; Ericales; Theaceae. The record is from RefSeq and is a predicted model, not a curated record.
UAAUGUAACACAAUAAAUGAAUCUUUAUAAAGAUAUAAGGGUGAAAUGCAUAUGCAAUGCUCAUGUCAAGACGGUUUACAUUUCUUUCUCAAAAUCCUGUCAUGCUCAAUUUAUAUCACAAUUCUCAAACCAUAACCUUUACCACUGGAAGCACGGGGAAAUUCUCAAACCGGUACAAACUUUCACGAAUAUUUCAUUCGUAGGAAACCGUCAAACGGCACCCAUGUAAACGUAGCCUAUACAAGCGCUACUAUUUCCAUUUUACAGAUAUUUCAUAUGCGGGAAUCGAUACCAAUGUAUAUGCCCGUUUUUUGAGACUUUCAUCCUGGACACACAAGCCAACUUAAUUUGGUGACACACACCUCUUUCCAUCAUUCACUCAUUUUCUCAAAUUCAUAUACAUAUGCAAUGUAUUCCACGAGGAACAAUGUUUAAUGCACAAAUAUGAUCAAUUAGUUUCAAUUCACCUAAUCCUCAUGCAAUUUUUAUAACAAUCAUAGUCAUCCUCCAUUGAUAACCCAAAACAGGUAUUUCUAAACAGAUAUAAAAUCUCCAGUACAGAUAAACUUUCCAAAUUUCAAGGCAAGUGACAAUACAUAUCAAACUCUACCAUCAAUAUCAAUAUCCAUCCAAUUUCACAUUCCCAACAUUAAUUCCAUUUAUUUAUACAAAAUAAAUAUUUGAAACAUUUAAGUCAAAACACCUUUUCUUCCAAAAUUCAAUCCAAGUAUCACUAUCAACAAUUUUAUCACCACUUAAUCUCAUUUUCACUCCCACAACCAUUUCCAUACAACCAUUUGAAAACCCCUCUUUUGAUUUUAAACCAAAACCCUAGGUUUGUUUAAAAUUCUCCAAAACCACAAGAUUGUUUUAUAAAAACAAAUAGCUAAGUUAAAAAUCAUAAAAGAGUGCAGAAAAUCCCUACCUCAAAGCUAGAAGACCAAGAAGAAAAUGAAGAAACCUUAAGGAAGCCGAAAUCCAACUUUGCUUGGAUGAAAACGAAGCUCGAAGUGAGGUCUACCUUUUCCUCAAAGGGAGUAGGGUAAAGAAAUCAAUGGAUCCAAGUGUUUUAAAAGAUAGAAGGUGAAUUGUAGAGAGAGAGGGUCUCAACUUAGGGUUUAGAAAGUUUAGAGAAUGAGAUAUAAAAAAAGUGAUGUAAAAUGACCUUUUAUGAAAUAAGUUGUUUCAUUCGAGCGCAAGAAGCUUCGCUUGAAUGCAGAAUACACACUUCUAAAAGUUUUACAGACAGAAGACCGUCGUUCGAGCACAAAAAGUUUCGCUCAAGCGAAGAACACUACCUCCCUAGUAUCUCUGCAAGCCUGCAAAAGUACUGAGAACUCAAAAAGCUCACUCGAGCACAAAAAGUUUCGCUCAAGCGAAGAGGCCAAAUUCUGGACAACAAUAGUUUGAACCAACUAGUAACCGACCUGUUCCAAACACAACCAAGACACUCCAAUACUCAAACUCAAUGAGAAAUAAGUAGAAACAUGGUAUGAAUAUCUAAAUAAGACAAAUGAAACCCAAAUUCAAAACAUCAACGGGUCGGGUCUAAAUUAGGAACUCUAUAACCUCCCCCUCUUAAAAAAUUUCAUCCCUGAAAUUUAAAAUCAAAUGUUAAAAUCAUGUUUAAACCAAUUACAACAAUGAUAGUCAAUCAAUUCCAACAUCAUGACCCAUCCACUGGUCAUUCAUUCUCAUCAACAUGAUAAACAAGUUUUCAAUACUGAAUAUACAAUUCAUAUUUCCAAAACAUAUACAAUGUUAAGGAAUUGAAUUAACAAUCAAAUAUGAAUUAAAUAGUGUGGUCCAAGGAUUAUGAUUAUUGUUAUGUGGUCCCAAUGAGUUUGAGUUUUGUAAUGUAAUAUUGUGAAAUUUUGUUGUUUUCUGCAGUGAAGUAAAAAAAAAAAAAAAAAUUUGUUUUUUGAGAUCAACUAUAAUGGGUACUUCAAUACGCCUCCUAAUAUUAGUUAUAAACAAGGGAAAGUAGAAUCUAUAUAUGAUGUUGAUCUUGACAAACUAUCUCUUUUAUAGAUUCAUACCAUCUCAAGGGAGAUGAAAAUAGAUGUCCAUAGUACUUCUAUUUUGUGGUAUAGGAAACUUGGAAAAACUUUGGAUGAUGGGUUAACGAUAAUUGAAGAAGAUGUUGAUGUAUAUAACCAUGAUAUGUGAUGAUGAAGGUUUAGAUAUGAUUAAAUUAUUUGUAGAGAAGGGUCAGGAACCAUUACAAGUGAUAAGUCCAAAAGGGAAACAUUUGGUACCCCCAAGGGUACCAGUUACUAUUAAGCAGGCACUGACUUGGCAUGAGAUGGAAAAUAUAAGUAAAGAAGAGAUGGAUUGUGGAGAUGGAGUGCAAGAUGUAGGUGAUGAGGAAAUGCAUAAUGGAGAUGGGGAUGAAGGAGUAGCAGAUGAAGAUGUCAGAGAUGAGGAAAGGGAUAAUAAAGCUUGGGAUGAAGAAGAUAGUGAUGAUCCUGAUUACAUUAAUGAUGGGAAUUAUGAUGGUGGUUUAGAAGAUGAAGACUAUGAAAGUGAUGAACCUGGCUGGUUGAAUGAGGGUUUAGAGGGGCAAAAAGAUGAUGAUAGUUUCUCACUAAGGGAGACUGUAAAUAAAAGAAAGAGGUAACCUCCUUUAUGUGAUCAAGGGGCAGAUGAAGGGUGGUAUUCUGAUCCUGAGGAUGAAGAUUUACACAAUGUACAUAACUCAUUAGAUGAGGAAUGUGAAGAUAAAUAGCCUGAGUUAAUUGAGGAAGUAGAUAUGAAGAAGCCAUAACUCAAACUUGGAAUGAAGUUUGCCAUCCCUCAAAUUUUUAGAAAGGCAAUGAAAGAGUGGAAUAUCCAACAUGGUUAUGACAUAAAGUACAUACGAAAUGACAACUCUAGGAUUACUGUAGAAUGCAAGCAUGGAUGUGGAUGGAGAUUGCAUGCUUCUCCCAUGGAAGGUGAGAACUUUUCAGAUAAAAUCAUUCCAGCUAAAGCAUGUAUAUGGAAGGUCAUAUAAUAAUCACUUGGUGAACUCAAAUUGCUUGGCACAUAAGUAUAUGGACAAGUUAAGGGAUGACCCUAACAUCAAAGUUGGGCCUAUGCAGAAGACAGUUUGGAGGGAGUCCAUCCCAAGUCCAAGCUUUUUAAGCAAAAAAGAAGUAACCAGCAGCAACAACAAUAACAAUUGCAACAGUAACAGCAUCUUAAGUAGCCUAAACCUCCAAUUUCAUUUCAUUUUGUAGUACAUUCUACAACAAUGACAUACAGAUAUAAAUCAUUGUAGCCCAAAAGGAAGUUCCCUAGUAGGAGGGCCAACACAUCCUCAUAUCAAGUAAGAUCUGUCCACUUUGCAUACUUGUUACAUCAUUGCAGCCCAGUUCUAUUAUUGAUUUGCAUACUUGUUACAUCGUUGCAGCCCACUAGGGUUGGUCACACAUUUGAAGAAUUUCCAAGUAUGAGAGGCAACACAUCAGCAUCUCAGCCCACUAGAGUUCAAUACAGUUCUCUAGAAUUUGAUAACUCAUCAUCUCAGCCCAGGAUUACUGAAGUUGGCCGAAAUUCUCCACAUUUCCCAACUUGGAUGGGCAACACAUCUUCAUCUCAGCCCACUAGUUAUGGCAGAGGAAGGGGUGGACAUGUUUGAGGUGGCAGAGUUAUGUUCAGAUCUGCAUUGGGAGGUAGCUUCACAACAAGAGGUAGAUAAGGAGGUGAGUCUGCAAAAGCUAUAACUCAGAUACAA